This 253-nucleotide ribosomal RNA is filed under the name uncultured bacterium. RNAcentral's name for it is "partial 16S ribosomal RNA". It matches the Rfam family "Bacterial small subunit ribosomal RNA", at positions 524 to 776 of the family's 1533-position model. The record is from RNAcentral.
UACGUAGGGUGCAAGCGUUAAUCGGAAUUACUGGGCGUAAAGCGUGCGCAGGCGGAUCAUCAAGUCGGGGGUGAAAUCCCCGGGCUCAACCUGGGAAUUGCGUUGGAGACUGCAAGGCUAGAAUCUGGCAGAGGGGGGUAGAAUUCCACGUGUAGCAGUGAAAUGCGUAGAGAUGUGGAGGAACACCGAUGGCGAAGGCAGCCCCCUGGGUCAAGAUUGACGCUCAUGCACGAAAGCGUGGGGAGCAAACAGG